Molecule: ribosomal RNA, 496 nt
Filed under: uncultured bacterium
Lineage: Bacteria
Description: partial 16S ribosomal RNA
Rfam family: Bacterial small subunit ribosomal RNA
Source: RNAcentral
GAUGAACGCUGGCGGCGUGCCUAAUACAUGCAAGUCGAGCGAACAGACGAGGAGCUUGCUCCUCUGACGUUAGCGGCGGACGGGUGAGUAACACGUGGAUAACCUACCUAUAAGACUGGGAUAACUUCGGGAAACCGGAGCUAAUACCGGAUAAUAUAUUGAACCGCAUGGUUCAAUAGUGAAAGACGGUUUUGCUGUCACUUAUAGAUUGAUCCGCGCCGCAUUAGCUAGUUGGUAAGGUAACGGCUUACCAAGGCAACGAUGCGUAGCCGACCUGAGAGGGUGAUCGACCAAACGGGAACGAGGAGGAGGAGCAAAACCGUAAGGGAGGAAGGGAAAGGAAACCUUCGGGAAGGGGCAAAAGCGAAAAGGGGAAAAGGGGGGAAAGUUAUAACGGUCAACGGAUCGUAAAAGUUGAUUAUUGGGGAAGAAAAAAGUGGUAAGUCAAUGGACAAGAAUUAAAGGUCCGGAAGAAGAAAACCAGGGCAAACUAGGG